Molecule: ribosomal RNA, 351 nt
Filed under: Rhodococcus sp. A5(2022)
Lineage: Bacteria; Bacillati; Actinomycetota; Actinomycetes; Mycobacteriales; Nocardiaceae
Description: partial 23S ribosomal RNA
Rfam family: Bacterial large subunit ribosomal RNA
Source: RNAcentral
GAAGCAGGUUAAUAUUCCUGCACCGUCGUAUGAUGCGAUGGGGGGACGGAUCGCGGAAGGUUGUCUAGCUGUUGGAAUAGCUAGUUUUUGACUCAUAGAAGGUACUUAGGCAAAUCCGGGUACGUAAUUCAAGGGGUCGAGACGAGUCGCCAUGUGCGACGAAGCAAUCGGAAGUGGUUCCAAGAAAAGCCUCUAAGCUUCAGUCAUACGAGACCGUACCGCAAACCGACACAGGUGGGCGGGUGUAAAAGCACCAAGGCGUUCGGGGGAACCCUCCAUAAGGAACUCGGCAAAAUGACCCCGUAACUGCGGGAGAAGGGGGGCCUCUGGAGGUGUAGGGCUUUACGUCUG